Molecule: ribosomal RNA, 567 nt
Filed under: uncultured bacterium
Lineage: Bacteria
Description: partial 16S ribosomal RNA
Rfam family: Bacterial small subunit ribosomal RNA
Source: RNAcentral
UGGGGAAUUUUGGACAAUGGGCGAAAGCCUGAUCCAGCAAUGCCGCGUGUGUGAAGAAGGCCUUCGGGUUGUAAAGCACUUUUGUCCGGAAAGAAAUCCUUGGCUCUAAUACAGUCGGGGGAUGACGGUACCGGAAGAAUAAGCACCGGCUAACUACGUGCCAGCAGCCGCGGUAAUACGUAGGGUGCAAGCGUUAAUCGGAAUUACUGGGCGUAAAGCGUGCGCAGGCGGUUUGCUAAGACCGAUGUGAAAUCCCCGGGCUCAACCUGGGAACUGCAUUGGUGACUGGCAGGCUAGAGUAUGGCAGAGGGGGGUAGAAUUCCACGUGUAGCAGUGAAAUGCGUAGAGAUGUGGAGGAAUACCGAUGGCGAAGGCAGCCCCCUGGGCCAAUACUGACGCUCAUGCACGAAAGCGUGGGGAGCAAACAGGAUUAGAUACCCGGUGGUCACGCCCCUAAACGAUGUCAACUAGUUGUUGGGGGAUUCAUUUUCCUUAGUAACGUAGCUAACGCGUGAAGUUGACCGCCUGGGGAGUACGGUCGCAAGAUUAAAACUUAAAUGAAUUGAC